UUUUAUUAAGCCAUUCAUUGAAAAAAACAACAGUGAUCUGUUUCAUAAUUUUCCAUGCACCACAAUCAUUUAGAAGAAUCACAUUUUGCCAAUCUAUUUCUGUAUUUUCAAAGUAUUUUAAAAAUGGAGUUAGUCUUAGCUGGGCUAAG
Long non-coding RNA from Perognathus longimembris pacificus (Pacific pocket mouse), 149 nucleotides. RefSeq lists it as uncharacterized. The record is from RefSeq and is a predicted model, not a curated record. The transcript is spliced from 3 exons. NCBI's taxonomy places the organism in Eukaryota, Metazoa, Chordata, Mammalia, Rodentia, Heteromyidae.